GAAGAGCAUGGUCCCGACUCUUAUAUUGGCUAUCUCUUAGAUAGAUACAUGGUAGUUUAGGCGAAGAGAGAGGUGUAUGAUACCCGAAUGAAGAGUCGUUAAAAACGGCUCUUCCCAGCGGGGGGUGUUAUUAAUAGAAAGAAGAGGCCCCAUGGAAAGUCUCUUACACCAGUACCGAAAUUUGGGCAAUGGGGGACACCCCGACCCAGCUAAUGAGAGACAGGGGAGAGCAAGACUGGUGCCAGAACUCUCGGCCAAGCCAGCUCCCCAAGUCAAUACGUAACGGCUAGGUGGUCAGGCAGGAAUUAAAAAAGGUGCUGCGCGCAUUAAUUUAGAGGUGAAAUUCAAAGAGAUUAGUGGCUUGCCCAUACAGCACUUGACUGUUGAAUCCGCGAAACUGUGGGGCUAGACCCGGAUUAGAUACCCGGUUAUUCCACAGCUGAAAUCCGUCAUAUACUGCCUGGGAACUACGAGGAAUACUUUAAAACCCGAGGGACUUGGCGGUGCAUUAAUCCACCCAGGGGAACCUGGCCCUUAAAUCGAUGAUCCGCGAACUUCUUACCUUCUCUUGUAUAGGUUUUCCCUAAGGUAAAACCUAUGUCAGUUUGCAUACCGCCGUUUUCAGCUUGUAUCGUGAGGUAAAAGAAACAGGCUACCCAGUAAGCGAACGUUUGCCUAUACGGAAGACUAUGUCUUCCGGGGGCGAUGGGGCUACUAGGAAUUCAGGUAAAAGUGCAGCCUAUGGGAAGGGGGUAGCUGGGUUACAGUUGGCGUUUGAAUUGGAGCAUAACCCGAAGGGGCUAUGUGAAAGAGUACUUGGAAGUAAUGACUUUAGGCAAUGGAGUCGUGAAUGGUGCUCUAGUGUGUGUACAAAUCGCCCGUCGCUCGCCCCGAAAGGGGUGAUAAGUCGUAACACGGUAGGGGUACCGGAAGGUGUCCCUAAAACAAA
RNAcentral lists this non-coding RNA (949 nucleotides) under Nipponacmea nigrans. RNAcentral describes it as "12S ribosomal RNA". It matches the Rfam family "Bacterial small subunit ribosomal RNA". Lineage: Eukaryota; Metazoa; Mollusca; Gastropoda; Lottiidae. The record is from RNAcentral.